RNAcentral lists this ribosomal RNA (332 nucleotides) under Vibrio parahaemolyticus. Its description in RNAcentral is "bacterial LSU rRNA". It matches the Rfam family "Bacterial large subunit ribosomal RNA", at positions 2617 to 2925 of the family's 2925-position model. The record is from RNAcentral. Lineage: Bacteria; Pseudomonadati; Pseudomonadota; Gammaproteobacteria; Vibrionales; Vibrionaceae.
CGUCGUGAGACAGUUCGGUCCCUAUCUGCCGUGGGCGUUGGAAGAUUGAAGGGGGCUGCUCCUAGUACGAGAGGACCGGAGUGGACGAACCUCUGGUGUUCGGGUUGUGUCGCCAGACGCAUUGCCCGGUAGCUAAGUUCGGAAUCGAUAACCGCUGAAAGCAUCUAAGCGGGAAGCGAGCCCUGAGAUGAGUCUUCCCUGAUACUUUAAGUAUCCUAAAGGGUUGUCGGAGACUACGACGUUGAUAGGUCAGGUGUGUAAGUGCUGUGAGGCAUUGAGCUAACUGAUACUAAUUGCCCGUGAGGCUUAACCAUACAACACCCAAGGGGUUU